RNAcentral lists this small RNA (266 nucleotides) under Arabidopsis thaliana (thale cress). Its description in RNAcentral is "ATSL196780". Lineage: Eukaryota; Viridiplantae; Streptophyta; Magnoliopsida; Brassicales; Brassicaceae. The record is from RNAcentral.
AUAAAAAUGUUUCGGUUCAGAGGGCAAUAUAUCAAAUCGUAAAUCGUUAAGGUGGGAGGUUCGAACUUCUGUGAUCUCAAACUUUUGUUUUUUUUAAAUAUCAAAAGAAAUUUACAAAACUCCGUCGUUUUACAGUUUUAACGGAAUCAAUUAACGUUGACUAACUCCACUAAAUUAGUCCGUCAGUUGACUUAACGACAUGCCUUAUUUGGCAAAGUCAAUAAAAAUUAACGAUUUAAUUAGAAAGUCAAUGAAAGUUGAAAAUU